AUUUAAAUAAUUUAUAAUAAAAUAUUGAUUUGUGGAGUCAAAAAUAUGAGAUGAUCAUUUUAAAUC
This 66-nucleotide transfer RNA is filed under the name Allancastria cerisyi. RNAcentral describes it as "trnA-His". Lineage: Eukaryota; Metazoa; Arthropoda; Insecta; Lepidoptera; Papilionidae. The record is from RNAcentral.